RNAcentral lists this ribosomal RNA (798 nucleotides) under uncultured Rhodoplanes sp. Its description in RNAcentral is "bacterial SSU rRNA". It matches the Rfam family "Bacterial small subunit ribosomal RNA", at positions 58 to 904 of the family's 1533-position model. Lineage: Bacteria; Pseudomonadati; Pseudomonadota; Alphaproteobacteria; Hyphomicrobiales; Nitrobacteraceae. The record is from RNAcentral.
CAAGUCGAGCGCCCCGCAAGGGGAGCGGCAGACGGGAGAGUAACACGUGGGAACGUACCCUUCAGUUCGGAACAACCCAGGGGAAACUUGGGCUAAUACCGGAUACGUCCGUAAGGAGAAAGAUUUAUCGCUGAAGGAUCGGCCCGCGUCUGAUUAGCUAGUUGGUGGGGUAACGGCCCACCAAGGCGACGAUCAGUAGCUGGUCUGAGAGGAUGAUCAGCCUCACUGGGACUGAGACACGGCCCAGACUCCUACGGGAGGCAGCAGUGGGGAAUAUUGGACAAUGGGCGCAAGCCUGAUCCAGCCAUGCCGCGUGGAUGAUGAAGGCCCUAGGGUUGUAAAGUCCUUUCGGCGGGGAAGAUAAUGACGGUACCCGCAGAAGAAGCCCCGGCUAACUUCGUGCCAGCAGCCGCGGUAAUACGAAGGGGGCUAGCGUUGCUCGGAAUCACUGGGCGUAAAGCGCACGUAGGCGGCUUUUUAAGUCGGUGGUGAAAUCCUGGAGCUCAACUCCAGAACUGCCUCCGAUACUGAAAGGCUCGAGUCCGGGAGAGGUGAGUGGAACUGCNAGUGUAGAGGUGAAAUUCGUAGAUAUUCGCAAGAACACCAGUGGCGAAGGCGGCUCACUGGCCCGGUACUGACGCUGAGGUGCGAAAGCGUGGGGAGCAACAGGAUUAGAUACCCUGGUAGUCCACGCCGUAAACGAAUGGAUGCUAGCCGUUGGCAGGCUUGCCUGUCAGUGGCGCACCUAACGCAUUAAGCAUCCCGCCUGGGGAGUACGGUCGCCAGAUUAAAACUCAA